GGUUUUAUAAUCCAUAAUUACAGUUAACUACUAGUCCAUAAAAAAUUUAACUACUAGUUAAGUAACUAACCGAAUUCAUUACCAUAAGUCGACUUAUUUCUUCUGUUCAAACGGUAGAUGUCACGCUGGUGACUGCUCUUGCAGCAAUGGGAACAAUAACUGUUGGUGCUGUUGUUAAAAAUUAUUUAUCAUGGAAAACAAAGCAAAAGAAAGACACCAGUUCGCUUGGAAGAUCCAACAGCCAAGAAUCAAUUGCCUUUAAUUGAAAAAGAGAUAUUAGUUCAUAUACAAGAAGAUUUAGAUUUGGUUUACGAACACCAGAACAUGUAUCUGGUUUACCACUUGGUCAGCAUGUUCAUUUGAUAGCCACAACUAAUGAUGAAAUUGUUAUCCGACCAUAUACAUUAUAUUUUUAAUCCUUAAAAUGUGAUUAAAUUAGUAAAAUAAAUAAUUUGUUUAAACAGGAUACGACAAGAUCAACAACAGUUAGUCCAAGUAUAAUAAUUGACAAAUGCAAAGAAGACACACUACCAUCAGUACCAAGAAAAUGCACAUGAACUUUGACAUAAUCUUCUUGAGGGUAUAAAACGUGCAUAUUUAAAUGAAGCAAGUUAACUUGAUAGAAACAACACCGAUUAAUCAAAUAUUUGGUGGUUACAUAGAUUUACUUUUUGAUAUUAUAAAAGCAAGUACACUUGAUGAAGCAUCAUAAAAUUAUUUUAGUCGUCAACAACUUGAUAAUAAUGAUUAUAAAUAAGGAUUCUGUCAAAGAUGUGUACCACUAACCAAAAAAUUUAGUUUAUAACAAACACCCAAAGUUUUAUGUGUGCAAGUAACAUGUUUUGUACUUGGUGGUAACAUAUCAUGUUGUAUUGAAUUUAAACAAACAAUUAAUAUGGGACAAUAUUUAUAGCGUGAAAAUAAUGAAAAAACACUUAAAUUAAAUUAUAAAUUAAUGUCAAUUGUAGCACAUGGGACUAUCUCUUAAUUGUGGUCAUUAUAUUGCUGCUGCACAAGUAAAAGCUAGACAAUAUUAUACAUUUGAUGAUUUAUCAGUACGCUCAAUUAAUUUUUCAAAUAUGAACACAAAUCCAUAUACCUAUUAUAAUAUAUUUGAAAUAGAAAAAUCAUCACAUGAU
Aphidius gifuensis is the source of this 1139-nucleotide long non-coding RNA. RefSeq lists it as uncharacterized. The transcript has 3 exons. NCBI's taxonomy places the organism in Eukaryota, Metazoa, Arthropoda, Insecta, Hymenoptera, Braconidae. The record is from RefSeq and is a predicted model, not a curated record.